UGGAACUUUUUCCUCAAAGCCGACAAGUAUAAAAUAUCCGGGCUUUUAGUAAAAAAAAUAGUUUUACACGAAGCUUUGAAUAGUAAAGUACUUGCUGUGCAAUAUAUAAAAAUGAGUCAAAUCCUUAUUCGACUUCUACUCUUGGUGGCUCUCAUCAUUUGUUUGGUCGGAACUGCCUUUGGACGACCAGGCUGCACUGACGGUUGCGACAGUUGCGAUAAUUGCUCUAAAGGUACUGCAGAACCCGAGCCUGCAACUGGUAAACUCGCCUAAUCUUUCAUCAUGCUGAUUUGCUAUUUCCGAUUCAUUUGAUCUUGUUAUUGAAAUUACGUAAUUAUUGUAAUCAGCAUGGGAUUGUUAAUAAACUAAAAUACAUCGAG
Long non-coding RNA from Phymastichus coffea, 380 nucleotides. RefSeq lists it as uncharacterized. The transcript is spliced from 2 exons. Lineage: Eukaryota; Metazoa; Arthropoda; Insecta; Hymenoptera; Eulophidae. The record is from RefSeq and is a predicted model, not a curated record.